GCGGGAGCCGCCAUCUUCCCAACCCCCCCAACCUCCGCUCGCGCUCUUAAAGGGGCCGCGACCCCCGCGCUGAGGGGGCGGCGGGUUUGGGGUUUGUUCCCGGCUCGCGAUCCCGGUUCCCGAGUGGAAAGAACCGUGACCGCGGUUCCCUCCGGUCACCACAGAGCGUGUAGGAGCGGGAUUGGACCCGACCGCGUCAGCAGGUUGAGUCACUCCAGGACGUGGCCAUGUUUUCCACCCCCAGGAAGUGAGGGAGAGUUGGAUCCCAGGGCCAUGGCAGCAGAUGAGAGGGAUUACAACCUGACAGAGGAGCAGAAGGCUGUCAAGGCCAAAUACCCUCCACUCUGUAAGAAAUAUGAAUAUCUGGAUCACACAGCAGAUGUGCAGCUCCAUGCCUGGGGAGACACGUUGGAAGAGGCAUUUGAGCAGUGUGUCAUGGCCAUGUUUGGCUACAUGACAGAUACAGAGACCGUGGAACCCGUGGAUACAGUGGAGGUGGAGGCAGAAGGACACGACUUGUUGUCUCUCCUCUUCCACCUCCUGGAUGAGUGGCUGUAUAAAUUCAGUGCUAAUGAGUUCUUUGUACCCAGGGAGGUGAAAGUGCUUCACAUCGACCGAAUGCAAUUCAAAAUCAGAUCAAUUGGGUGGGGAGAAGAGUUCUCUUUAGGCAAACACCCACAGGGCACAGAGGUCAAAGCCAUCACUUACUCAGCGAUGCAGAUCUGUGAGGAUGAAAAGCCAGAAGUCUUUGUCAUCAUUGAUAUUUAAAGCAAGAAAAGCGUGGCCAAGUGGAUAUUAUGGGCUGGCAAAAGUCCCCUGAAACUGUAAUCCCUGUGGAAGUAACCAAGGAAUUGGGCAGUUAAAAUCAUAAACUGAAGGGAGUAACUGCAGGGAAUGUCAGCCAGUGUUUUCAUGUGAAGAUGGUGAGACAGAGAAUAAAAAGAACUAGUUGGGGUUUUGGGGGAUGUUGAGAAGAAGAGAUCUGAAGGAGUUGGAAAUCUCCCAGGAAUGCUGCUAGUCAGCUUUUAAGGCUGGUACAUAUGUAUGAAAUACAGAAAUUAGUGAAGGUCUUAACUAAAAUGCUGCCUUUUUGUAGGGUGGCAGGAGAAGAUCUUCAUCUAUGUGAUGUCCUUUGCAGAUUUCACUACUCUAAUUCUGGGCUGACAUCCCUCCUCCAUUUUAUACAAAUCCCAAAUAGCUGCAGUGGCUCAGAUUGAAUGUGGAAAAAAUUCUGACUGUUGAAAAGACACCUAAAAAAAAAUAAAAAUUAAACCAAUUAAAAAAAACAAACCACCACACCUUUAAAAGUACUUAAAACCAAAAAUCAUGCCAGCAGGUGGUGCUGAAUUGCUGUAAAUAAACUUCCACCUGAAAUCCUGAAGCAUGUGACCGUGUACCUGGAAUCCUCACAUCACCUCUGAUCCCCCUAAAAAGUUGGCAGCUUUGCCAGGAGCUGCACCAGGUUGGAAAGGGGUGCCCCAGGCUCUCUGCAGCUUCACUCCCAGCUGUGUCUUGUGAAAAGAAUUCUCUUAAUAAAAGCAGAUGGUUUGGAUCACCCUUUAGAAAGGACAAUGAAGACAGUCCCUUAAUGUGAAAGGAUUGUGGGCUUCACUGAAUCAAAAUUAAUCAAGGAUAAUGGAAAGUGUGUUUUGUUUUAAAUCACAGGUUGGCAAAGGUGUGUUACCUGCCAUUGCUAUUUAAAUGUGGGGAGCACAGGCCUGACCUGUUAUUGGGAAUGCUUCACAUGCCUCAGCUCUGGAGCGUGCCAAAAUAAAACUGGGACUGAAAGGAUCCCUGGAUUUGUGUGUGAUUUCUGAGCAGCCAGUCCAGACACUUGUACUUUGCUCCCUGCUGAGAGCCCAUUUGGGGCGUUUGUUCCCCGCUGAGGAGGAGACGGGGGAAUGUCCUGCAUCGAAAUCCUCGGGGGUGCUGCUGUCGAAACUGGCUUCUGCCAAGCACUUGUGGCACAGUCUGUAGCGCCGUGUCCCUUGCUGGACCACGCAGCCCGUCAGCUCCGUCACGUGGCGCUUGCACUUCCUGCAGAUCAGUUUGCCGGCCUGGUGGAUCUGGAGAGGGAUCCG
Corapipo altera (White-ruffed manakin) is the source of this 2081-nucleotide RNA transcript. It is a transcript of the gene named zinc finger and BTB domain containing 8 opposite strand, with no coding region annotated. The record is from RefSeq and is a predicted model, not a curated record. NCBI's taxonomy places the organism in Eukaryota, Metazoa, Chordata, Aves, Passeriformes, Pipridae. The transcript has 10 exons.